UUUCAAAAUUUUGAUGGCCACCAGGUAG
This 28-nucleotide non-coding RNA is filed under the name Rattus norvegicus (Norway rat). The record is from RNAcentral. Lineage: Eukaryota; Metazoa; Chordata; Mammalia; Rodentia; Muridae.